Molecule: ribosomal RNA, 497 nt
Filed under: uncultured bacterium
Lineage: Bacteria
Description: partial 16S ribosomal RNA
Rfam family: Bacterial small subunit ribosomal RNA
Source: RNAcentral
GAUGAACGCUGGCGGCGUGCCUAAUACAUGCAAGUCGAGCGAACGGACGAGAAGCUUGCUUCUCUGAUGUUAUCGGCGGACGUGUGAGUAACACGUGUAUAACCUCCCUAUAAGACUGGGAUAACUUCGGGAAACCGGCGCUAAUACCGGAUAAUAUUUUGAACCGCAAGGUUCAAAUGUGAAAUACGGUCUUGCUGCUACUUAUUGAUGGUGCCGCGCUGCAUUAGCUAGUUGGUAUGGCAACGUCUUACCAAGGCAACACUGCAUCGCCGACCGGAGAGGGGGAUAGCCCAAACGGGAACUGAGAAACGGUCCAGACCCCUACGGGAGGAACAAGUAGGGAAUCUUGCGCAAUGGGCGAAAGCCGGACGGGGCAACGCCGCGUGAGUGAUGAAGGUCUUCGGAUCGUAAAACUCUGUGAUUAGGGAAGAACAUAUGUGUAAGGAAAUGUGCACAUCUUGACGGUACCUAAUCAGAAAGCCACGGCUAACUACGUG